UGGGGAAUAUUGCACAAUGGGCGGAAGCCUGAUGCAGCGACGCCGCGUGAGGGAUGAAGGCCUUCGGGUUGUAAACCUCUUUCAGCAGGGACGAAGCGUGAGUGACGGUACCUGCAGAAGAAGCACCGGCUAACUACGUGCCAGCAGCCGCGGUAAUACGUAGGGUGCGAGCGUUGUCCGGAAUUACUGGGCGUAAAGAGUUCGUAGGCGGUUUGUCGCGUCGUUUGUGAAAACCCGGGGCUCAACUUCGGGCUUGCAGGCGAUACGGGCAGACUUGAGUGUUUCAGGGGAGACUGGAAUUCCUGGUGUAGCGGUGAAAAUGCGCAGAUAUCAGGAGGAAACACCGGUGGCGAAAGGCGGGUCUCUGGGGAAAACAACUGACGCUGAGGAACGAAAGCGUGGGUAGCAAAACAGGAUUAGAUACCCUGGUAGUCCACGCCGUAAAACGGUGGGCGCUAGGUGUGGGUUCCUUCCACGGG
This 479-nucleotide ribosomal RNA is filed under the name uncultured bacterium. Its description in RNAcentral is "bacterial SSU rRNA". It matches the Rfam family "Bacterial small subunit ribosomal RNA", at positions 355 to 838 of the family's 1533-position model. The record is from RNAcentral.